Molecule: ribosomal RNA, 439 nt
Filed under: Hippasa sp. PS8
Lineage: Eukaryota; Metazoa; Arthropoda; Arachnida; Araneae; Lycosidae
Description: partial 16S ribosomal RNA
Source: RNAcentral
UUCUAUUAGAAAUAAUUAAUAGUAAAAUCUGCUCAAUGAUUUUAAAUAGCCGCUUUUAGUGCUAAGGUAGCAUAAUAAUUUGUCUUUUAAUUAAAGACUAGAACAAAAGAUUUAACAUCUUAAUUUAUAUUUUAAAUUGAUUUUUUUAAAUUAUUUUAAAUGUAAAAAAACAUUUAUUAAAAAGAAAGACGAUAAGACCCUAUUGAACUUAACUUUAGUUUAACUGGGGUAGUUAAUAAAUUAAUAUUUUCAUUUUUUUCUUAAAAAUAAAAUUGACCUAAUACAAUUAAUAUUAUAAUCAAGUUACCAUAGGGAUAACAGCGCAAUAAAAUUUUUCAGUUCUUAUUUAAAAUUAAGAUUACGACCUCGAUGUUGAUUAAUAUUCUAAAUUUACGCAAUAGUAAAUUAAGAAAGUCUGUUCGACUUUUAAAAAAUUACA